AGUUGCUCAUUCAAUUUUUUAUGUCGGUCCACAAAAUAGAGUGGAAAUAUGCCACAUAAGCCGGGAAUGACGCCAAAGUAAGGUGCCUACCGUCCAAUUAAUGAUAUUCGCUUUCUGGCCUUAUCAAGCAACGGGCGACACGUGGAGUGAGGCACCACCUA
Xenorhabdus cabanillasii JM26 is the source of this 161-nucleotide non-coding RNA. The record is from Rfam. Lineage: Bacteria; Pseudomonadati; Pseudomonadota; Gammaproteobacteria; Enterobacterales; Morganellaceae.